This 5984-nucleotide long non-coding RNA is filed under the name Jatropha curcas. RNAcentral's name for it is "long non-coding RNA (JCUR_LNC002945)". The record is from RNAcentral. Lineage: Eukaryota; Viridiplantae; Streptophyta; Magnoliopsida; Malpighiales; Euphorbiaceae.
UUAUUUUUUUUUUUCAAUUGGUUUUCUUCUUGGUUUAGGAAUUUAUAUUUAAAAUUUUAUAUGAAAAAUUUCUAAAAAUAAAAUUUCGGGUUGUUUCAGUAAUCUCAUCUAAAGGCUAUGAUUAUUCCUCAAUAUAUUCCUCUCAUAUAAUUAUUUUUUUCUCCAUAAUAAUUAUUAAAUUACUCUAUGAAAAUAAUUCUCCAAUUUUUCUAAUUAAUAAAAAUACCAUAAUUCACUAUUCAUUAAUUACUAAAUACGUCUAAAUAAAUUCAUAGCUUAAUUUCUACCCACUAAAAUUAUGAAUGCAUGUUCCAAAAAUAUUAAAAAAAUAUAAAUUAUAAAUAGAAAUUUUUCAGACCGAAAUAAUACAGACUUCCGAACAGGUGUUACUAUUCACAUAUUAGUAAACUACUAUUUCAAACACUGAAAAGAAAAUAGGACAUUACAAUUUCAGUUCCAAAUGGUUCUGGCGGUUCUCGACCGAUUUUCCAGUGAUUGACAUAAUUUUAAAACAAAAAAAUCUAACUUACACAAAUACCCUUACCAUAAUUAGACAUUAUAUAGUCAUUUCAUAGUUGUUAGGAAAGUUAAUUUAAAGAUUUUAUUUUUUUGAAAAAAUAAAAAAAAAAUAAUAGAACCACCUAUUCUAAUCGGUUGCAAAACCUUUGGCUCCGGCCAGUUCAUGGUUCUAAAAAACUUAGAAGCGAAACUGAACCGCAACCUCUCGGUUCUAGUUCCGCACGGUUCUAGUUCCAAAAAUCGAAAUUUGGCCACCCCUAACUAUAGCAGGUUUACUUGCCACGCUUAUUCAUACAAAAAUAAAUAUUUCUAUAUAGUAGAAAAAAGCCUCCAUUUUAAAUUAUAUUUUUUAAUAGUAACGGAUAAGAUACUUACAUACUUUCAUUAUUAAAUUCAUUUAAUACAUAGAGUAAAUAACGAGCAGCAAUUAUCUAGAUAUCCAUAUCCAGUGAUGGAGCCAUGAUUUUUUCUUAGGUGGACAAAAAUAUCAUUUCAUACGAGCAAAUAUUUUUUAUAUAUAGUCAAAAAAUUUUUAAUCAAAAUAGAAUAAAUAACUACAAAACAAUCAAGAUAUUUAAUAUAAAUAAUAAUUUUCAAUAAGAAAGAAACAAAAAACUUUCUACUUUCAUACUAGAAAUUACAAUGAAAAUAACUACUAGUGUUUAAAAUUUUAAAGUUUGAAUUUCAUUAAAUUAUUUCAAUAAGCAGAGGUAGAGUUAGUUCAUAUCUUUUAUUUUUAUUACAUUUCGUGUAUUUAUAAUUUGUACUUCAAAAUGAAUGGUUUAAUAUUGAAAACAUAUUUACAAUUUGAAGUUGACGUACCAUUAAGAAAAAAAGUUAAUCUAUCAUAAAAUUAUAUGAAAAUAUAAUUUACCUUAAUUUGAAAUAUAUGUCAGGAUUUGUUUGAUAAAUUUAUUUAAAUUAUUAUAAAAGAACCAUUUCUUUAAUUUUUUAAAAAUGCUAUCUUUAAAACAUUUACUGAAGCAAAUGAAAUUAUUAAAAUAUAUCAGACUAUUAUUUGCAGUAAAAAAAAAAAGCAACUUUGAAUAAAUUUAGAUCAAUUUGAUUUCAUAUUAUUUUUAAAAUAUUAAAUUGGAUCUUGAGUUAUAAUGCUAAAUUAAUCUAUUUAAAUAAAUUAAAUAUCAUGUAUUUAUUCAAUGAAUUUAUAAUUCUAAAAUUUCUGCAAGUUAGUUAAGUUUUAAUUAAAUAAUCAAUAAUAAACAAUUGAAUUGAAUUAUAACUAAAUGUUUAUUUUUCUUUAAUAGUUUUUAUAGACAAACUAUCCGGAAAGAGAGUACCAUAGUAAAAAAAGAAAGUAGGACUAAUUUCUAUUAUAAUUUAUAAAGACCAAGUAAAAUUAAGAUAUCCCUUGAAACAAAGAUUAAAAUUAGAAGUUUACUAAGAUUGUAACUACCAAUAUCCGUCUCAAAUAUAUUUAUAACUACUUAAACCUUCAUUAAAUGAUUUGAAACCAGGUACGUACUAAAAUGUACAUAACAAGAUAAAGAUAUUUCUUUCAAGAAAUUAUAAAAAUUAUGUACCAUUAACUAGAAAAUAAAAUUUAGGCUCCAUUUGUUUCCGAAAAAUAAUUUACUCGAAAAUAACUUGCAAAAAAAUAUUUUAUAUGAAAAAUAUUUUACAGGAAAAUACAUUAUUUUCUAACGUUUGACUUUACAUAAAAUAUUCUCGAAAAAUAUUUUUUAACAUUUGAUAUAAUAUUAAAAAAUUUAAUUUUUCUUCAUAUAAUAAUUCGUUUACACCUAGUAUAUUAUAAUGAUGAUUAUAUAUUAAAGUAAAUUUAAUAAUUAGAUUUUCGAUUUAAAAUAUAUUCUCAUCGUAUAAUACUAUAAUGAAGAUUAAUUUAAUCUAAUAAUGUGAUUUAAUUUUUUUAAUUAAAUUAUUUAACAUUACAGUGUAUAUAGGAAUGGAAGUAGGAAUGGAAGCGGGGCAGACACUCUAAAAUAUCUGCUUCCAUCUCUAAGUAUAUAUCAUGUUAAGAUAAUUUAACAAUAUAUAAGUAUUAUAAUUAUGUUAAAAUAUAUUGCUCAAAUAUAUAUUUUAAAUGUAAUGAGCUUUAACAUAUUUUAAAAAAUAUAUUGUUAAAAUAAUUUAAUGAUUAUAUUAAAAUAAACAUGUUGUAAAAAGUAUCAUGUAAAAUAUAUUUUAAAUAGUAUGAACCUAUCAAUAAAUUAUUUUAAAUAAUUUGUUCUAAAAAAAAGUCACUUGGUGUAUUUUAGACACUUUCAAAAAGACUAUGUACCCACAAUUGCACCUGUCAGUGGAAUGUUUCUUGAUGAACCAAAAAGACUAAUUUUAAAUUAUGAAAUAAAUUAGGAAAAUGUUUUCCCAAAUAAACAAGUGUAAAUCAUUUUCCUUAAUCGCUAACUUAUUUUCCACUAACCUACAAUUUAUUUUCCUUAACUUAUUUUCUUUUAAUGUUUGAAAUAGUGAAAAAUUGUGAAAAAUAUUUUUCUGCUUAUAGAAAUAUGCUCUUAUUUUGAAGUUAAAGGUUUUUGUAAAGAUGUAAUUGAUAUAUUAGCACAUGAAAGUAAAAGGGUACGCAGUUUCACAUAUAAUAAAGUAGAUGAAUUUGACACUUGGGUUGUUAUUGUGAUGGAGGUGAAAUUCUUAAUUAGCCCUGGAAAGCUGCAAUCUCCAUAGCCUUGUUGCCUGGGUAGGUGAGCGCUGGUGCGCUGUAUUUGCUGAAAAGUUUGUAGGAGGACACAAGAGAAAGCACCGCGUAGAAAGCUACUGCACCAAAUGUUAUCACUGCAGAUGUUGUGGCCUUGUAACAGAAUCCGCCGAAAGACAUACAAGCUGCACUCCAGGUGAUGGCCAUGUCUCCCUUUCUUGCCAAGUACAACACCUCCACUGACACAGCUCCGGCCGCCAGAAUCGCAUAUGUCAACACCUAAAUUUGAUUUGCUUAAUUGAUUAAUUUUCUUUCUUAAUUGUUUUAUUUUUACAACAUCUAUCUAAAAAUAACCUGGUCGAGGAAGAAGAAUGUCCAGGCCUGGGGCAUGGUGGAUGGUCGAGGCAUGGCUACAAUGAUGGCUGAGAGAAGGGAAUAUCCAGCACAUAUGCCAUUCGCAUGCACCAAGUACCUGUAUUUAUUAAUUACAAUUUAUAGAGCUUGACAAUAAUUGUAAAACAGACUCAAUUAUAUGGAAUUCAUUGGUUCAGUUUGAUGAUAAUAGGAAAAUCGAGACUUUUCAGUGUAAUUCAAUUUUUAAAAUAAAAAAUAAUGCAAUUUUUAUUCUAUUUAGUUUGGUCCCGUAAAUAAUUUAUUUAAAAAUUCAAUUUAUUAUAUUUGUAUUAAUUUUGUUCAAUUUACAAGUAUAUGUAAUUAUUAGGAAUAAGAAUUUUCUUCGGUUCAAAAAGCUGUUGAGCAAAUGAUAUUUUCUUAUACCUUCAAUUAGGAAGAGAAAGGAAAAUAAGAUCCAGUCCCUUUACAAUCUUUAAUUUCCAAAGACAGUUUACUUUUCCUUUCUUUUAUUAUUUCUACUCCCAAAUAAAAAUACUAAUAGAAUUAUCAGUUUAAACUCUUUAAGUUCAAUUGCUUGAUGUAAAUAAUAAGAAAAUAUAAAUUUCCACUAUAAAUAUUUAUAUUUAANNNNNNNNNNNNNNNNNNNNNCAUGUAUUUAUUCAAUGAAUUUAUAAUUCUAAAAUUUCUGCAAGUUAGUUAAGUUUUAAUUAAAUAAUCAAUAAUAAACAAUUGAAUUGAAUUAUAACUAAAUGUUUAUUUUUCUUUAAUAGUUUUUAUAGACAAACUAUCCGGAAAGAGAGUACCAUAGUAAAAAAAGAAAGUAGGACUAAUUUCUAUUAUAAUUUAUAAAGACCAAGUAAAAUUAAGAUAUCCCUUGAAACAAAGAUUAAAAUUAGAAGUUUACUAAGAUUGUAACUACCAAUAUCCGUCUCAAAUAUAUUUAUAACUACUUAAACCUUCAUUAAAUGAUUUGAAACCAGGUACGUACUAAAAUGUACAUAACAAGAUAAAGAUAUUUCUUUCAAGAAAUUAUAAAAAUUAUGUACCAUUAACUAGAAAAUAAAAUUUAGGCUCCAUUUGUUUCCGAAAAAUAAUUUACUCGAAAAUAACUUGCAAAAAAAUAUUUUAUAUGAAAAAUAUUUUACAGGAAAAUACAUUAUUUUCUAACGUUUGACUUUACAUAAAAUAUUCUCGAAAAAUAUUUUUUAACAUUUGAUAUAAUAUUAAAAAAUUUAAUUUUUCUUCAUAUAAUAAUUCGUUUACACCUAGUAUAUUAUAAUGAUGAUUAUAUAUUAAAGUAAAUUUAAUAAUUAGAUUUUCGAUUUAAAAUAUAUUCUCAUCGUAUAAUACUAUAAUGAAGAUUAAUUUAAUCUAAUAAUGUGAUUUAAUUUUUUUAAUUAAAUUAUUUAACAUUACAGUGUAUAUAGGAAUGGAAGUAGGAAUGGAAGCGGGGCAGACACUCUAAAAUAUCUGCUUCCAUCUCUAAGUAUAUAUCAUGUUAAGAUAAUUUAACAAUAUAUAAGUAUUAUAAUUAUGUUAAAAUAUAUUGCUCAAAUAUAUAUUUUAAAUGUAAUGAGCUUUAACAUAUUUUAAAAAAUAUAUUGUUAAAAUAAUUUAAUGAUUAUAUUAAAAUAAACAUGUUGUAAAAAGUAUCAUGUAAAAUAUAUUUUAAAUAGUAUGAACCUAUCAAUAAAUUAUUUUAAAUAAUUUGUUCUAAAAAAAAGUCACUUGGUGUAUUUUAGACACUUUCAAAAAGACUAUGUACCCACAAUUGCACCUGUCAGUGGAAUGUUUCUUGAUGAACCAAAAAGACUAAUUUUAAAUUAUGAAAUAAAUUAGGAAAAUGUUUUCCCAAAUAAACAAGUGUAAAUCAUUUUCCUUAAUCGCUAACUUAUUUUCCACUAACCUACAAUUUAUUUUCCUUAACUUAUUUUCUUUUAAUGUUUGAAAUAGUGAAAAAUUGUGAAAAAUAUUUUUCUGCUUAUAGAAAUAUGCUCUUAUUUUGAAGUUAAAGGUUUUUGUAAAGAUGUAAUUGAUAUAUUAGCACAUGAAAGUAAAAGGGUACGCAGUUUCACAUAUAAUAAAGUAGAUGAAUUUGACACUUGGGUUGUUAUUGUGAUGGAGGUGAAAUUCUUAAUUAGCCCUGGAAAGCUGCAAUCUCCAUAGCCUUGUUGCCUGGGUAGGUGAGCGCUGGUGCGCUGUAUUUGCUGAAAAGUUUGUAGGAGGACACAAGAGAAAGCACCGCGUAGAAAGCUACUGCACCAAAUGUUAUCACUGCAGAUGUUGUGGCCUUGUAACAGAAUCCGCCGAAAGACAUACAAGCUGCACUCCAGGUGAUGGCCAUGUCUCCCUUUCUUGCCAAGUACAACACCUCCACUGACACAGCUCCGGCCGCCAGAAUCGCAUAUGUCAACACCUAAAUUUGAUUUGCUUAAUUGAUUAAUUUUCUUUCUUAAUUGUUUUAUUUUUACAACAUCUA